RNAcentral lists this ribosomal RNA (497 nucleotides) under uncultured bacterium. RNAcentral describes it as "partial 16S ribosomal RNA". It matches the Rfam family "Bacterial small subunit ribosomal RNA", at positions 28 to 507 of the family's 1533-position model. The record is from RNAcentral.
GAUGAUCGCUGGCGGCGUGCCUAAUACAUGCAAGUCGAGCGAACAGACGAGGAGCUUGCUCCUCUGACGUUAGCGGCGGACGGGUGAGUAACACGUGGAUAACCUACCUAUAAGACUGGGAUAACUUCGGGAAACCGGAGCUAAUACCGGAUAAUAUAUUGAACCGCAUGGUUCAAUAGUGAAAGACGGUUUUGCUGUCACUUAUAGAUGGAUCCGCGCCGCAUUAGCUAGUUGGUAAGGUAACGGCUUACCAAGGCGACGAUGCGUAGCCGACCUGAGAGGGUGAUCGGCCACACUGGAACUGAGACACGGUCCAGACUCCUACGGGAGGCAGCAGUAGGGAAUCUUCCGCAAUGGGCGAAAGCCUGACGGAGCAACGCCGCGUGAGUGAUGAAGGUCUUCGGAUCGUAAAACUCUGUUAUUAGGGAAGAACAAAUGUGUAAGUAACUAUGCACGUCUUGACGGUACCUAAUCAGAAAGCCACGGCUAACUACGUG